RNAcentral lists this small RNA (29 nucleotides) under Bombyx mori (domestic silkworm). RNAcentral's name for it is "ovarian small RNA-18312". The record is from RNAcentral. Lineage: Eukaryota; Metazoa; Arthropoda; Insecta; Lepidoptera; Bombycidae.
UAAAGCAAUAUUUGUGAUCUACAACAGCC